This 3851-nucleotide long non-coding RNA is filed under the name Ficedula albicollis (Collared flycatcher). RNAcentral describes it as "lncRNA (ENSFALG00000024295.1)". Lineage: Eukaryota; Metazoa; Chordata; Aves; Passeriformes; Muscicapidae. The record is from RNAcentral.
AAAUCAGAGCAGCUUUCCAGUGUGAAAUUCCUCUAUCAGAUAUGAAAACACUGCUGGAAAUCCAGAAACUCUACCUGGAGAUCCAGAAACUUGAGAAGGAGCUAAAAACGAGCACCUAAAGCUGGCUGUUGGCACUGGGGUUGUAAGAACCAUCCUCUGUGGGGUGGGUUGUGAUGCUGACUGAGGAUUUUUUAUGACUUUGUAAUUCAUGCUAAUGCUGAAGGACAAAAUUGAAGGAUUGGUCACAUGAGGAGCCAAUGACUUGUGAGUGAAUUUUCAUUUUGUAGAUCACUUUAUGCCUUUUGCAGCUUCACAUUUAGAUCUGUUUGCUACACUGGCAGCUGAGUGGAAAGUGAAUUUUGGCGGCACAAACAGGCAUGAACGUGGUGAGAGCCCCUCACCUCCAGCUGCUGCACCUCUCCAGUCUAUCCCAGUGCUGCCCAGUUCACCCACGCUGCACUCAUUAGUGGGAACAUCCCCUUCACUGCCUUGUUGCUUUUCUCAUGGCCAAGAAAACCUCAAAGCCUCUGUCCUAGCAAAGCAAAAAUGCCAGGUUUCCUUCCCAAGCAGGCUGGAUGGAUCCAUGGCAGGGCCACAUCUCUGUGUGUGGCCCAAGGACAAAUCACUGUACAGAAAAUAAUGGCUGGGGUUUAAUUAUUUUGUUUUUUUCUGCAACAUUCAGUGACGGGGAAGCGCUGUGCAGGCCACAACCAGAGUUUAUAAUAAACCUGCAAUUGUAAUAACAGCUCUGUGUGGGUUUUAAUGAUCUCUCCUAUCUCUAGUAAAGGGAAUUAUUUAUAUAAUAUGGAUGAAGCACAGUCAUAUAUAAAGAGUAUGAAGUACAUAUCAUGCAUGAAGUGUAUCUAACAAAUAGGUUUUUUGUAGUGUUUGUAAAUAAGCAGCUCAGUUAGGUGCUGUUCCAUGAGUGCAGGGAUGCUGGGGGGGGUUUCACAGCAGCCUGACCCCCCACCCCACCUGCCCUGGGUAUAAAUGUGCUUCAGACACCACCCAGAGAGCUUUGAGCUGGAAACCACCGCUCUAACAACAAAGGGAUUCAACGUUCUGAUGUCCAUGCUUUGCUUUGGAUUCAGCAUUCUGGUUUAUAUUGACGCCGUGGUGCAUUCCCAUCACGACACCAAUCGCUGUGUGACUCCUCCCGACCCCUUCACGGCCUCGGAGCAGGGCUGGGGGUGGUGUCAGCGACACAGGCGGUGUCUGCCUGUCCCCAGCUUCCCCCUGCAGCUUCCCCUUGCCCGCAGGCUCUGGGCGCAGCAUCUCUGCCGGCAGGCAGCCCCAGCCCCAGCCCCAGCAUGGCCCGGCCGCUGCUGGCAGGGCUGCUCCUGCUGCUGCAGCCCGCAGGAACCCGGGAGGCUCAGUGUCCCGUCCCCCACAUUGCACACGGGCAGCUGAGCUCUGCAGAGAACUUCACGCACGGCAGCACAGCCAGGCUGGAGUGUGAGCCUGGCUUUGUGCCCUCGGGCACCGGCACCACGGUGAGGUGCACCUCCCACGGCAGGUGGUACCCACGGGUGCCCUCCUGUGUGCCAGGUGAGCCCAAUCCCCUCCUGUGUGCCAGGUGAGCCCAAUCCCCUCCUGUGUGCCAGGUGAGCCCAAUCCCCUCCUGUGUGCCAGGUGAGCCCAAUCCCCUCCUGUGUGCCAGGUGAGCCCAAUCCCCUCCUGUGUGCCAGGUGAGCCCAAUCCCCUCCUGUGUGCCAGGUGAGCCCAAUCCCCUCCUGUGUGCCAGGUGAGCCCAAUCCCCUCCUGUGUGCCAGGUGAGCCCAAUCCCCUCCUGUGUGCCAGGUGAGCCCAAUCCCCUCCUGUGUGCCAGGUGAGCCCAAUCCCCUCCUGUGUGCCAGGUGAGCCCAAUCCCCUCCUGUGUGCCAGGUGAGCCCAAUCCCCUCCUGUGUGCCAGGUGAGCCCAAUCCCCUCCUGUGUGCCAGGUGAGCCCAAUCCCCUCCUGUGUGCCAGGUGAGCCCAAUCCCCUCCUGUGUGCCAGGUGAGCCCAAUCCCCUCCUGUGUGCCAGGUGAGCCCAAUCCCCUCCUGUGUGCCAGGUGAGCCCAAUCCCCUCCUGUGUGCCAGGUGAGCCCAAUCCCCUCCUGUGUGCCAGGUGAGCCCAAUCCCCUCCUGUGUGCCAGGUGAGCCCAAUCCCCUCCUGUGUGCCAGGUGAGCCCAAUCCCCUCCUGUGUGCCAGGUGAGCCCAAUCCCCUCCUGUGUGCCAGGUGAGCCCAAUCCCCUCCUGUGUGCCAGGUGAGCCCAAUCCCCUCCUGUGUGCCAGGUGAGCCCAAUCCCCUCCUGUGUGCCAGGUGAGCCCAAUCCCCUCCUGUGUGCCAGGUGAGCCCAAUCCCCUCCUGUGUGCCAGGUGAGCCCAAUCCCCUCCUGUGUGCCAGGUGAGCCCAAUCCCCUCCUGUGUGCCAGGUGAGCCCAAUCCCCUCCUGUGUGCCAGGUGAGCCCAAUCCCCUCCUGUGUGCCAGGUGAGCCCAAUCCCCUCCUGUGUGCCAGGUGAGCCCAAUCCCCUCCUGUGUGCCAGGUGAGCCCAAUCCCCUCCUGUGUGCCAGGUGAGCCCAAUCCCCUCCUGUGUGCCAGGUGAGAAUCCCCUCCUGGCCUCUGCCAGGUGAGCCCAAUCUCCUCCUGUGUGCCAGGUGAGCCCAAUGCCCUCCUGUGUGCCAGGUGAGCUCAAUCCCCUCCUGUGUGCCAGGUGAGCUCAAUGCCCUCCUGUGUGCCAGGUGAGCCCAAUCCCCUCCUGUGUGCCAGGUGAGCCCAAUCCCCUCCUGUGUGCCAGGUGAGCCCAAUCUCCUCCUGGCCUCUGCCAGGUGCAAUCCUGCUCCCAUUUCCCCAAAAUCUCUUGGAGGGAACAUCCACUGGCUGGCAGGAUUCCCUCUGGGAUCACCCAGGGCAGUGUGGCAGGGCUGUCCCUUCCUGCAGGGGACACCCACGAGGUGCCAAAGCACACGAGAAAUAAGAUUCUCACUCAGUUCACAUCCUUUGGUGAAUUUUCCCCAAAAUGAAAACUCCCUGGUUUUUCCCUUGCCCUUCACCCCACAGCCACGCUCAGGGCUGCUGCUGUCCCUCACUUAUUUUUGGAGUUUUCCACCAAGGAAAAGCUCUCAGUGCUGAGGGUCUGUGAUGUCCCCUGCUCUGUCCCCAGGGCAAUGCUGAGUGUCUCUCUGUCCCCUGCUCUGUCCCCAGGGCAGUGUCCCCUGCUCUGUGUCCCCACCUCUGUCCCUAUCUCUGUGUCCCCUGUUCUGUGUCCCCAGCUCUGUCCCCUGCUCUGUCCCCAGGGCAGUGUCCCCUGCUCUGUGUCCCCACCUCUGUCCCUAUCUCUGUGUCCCCUUCUCUGUCCUCUGCUGUGUCCCCAGGGCAGUGUCCCCUGCUCUGUGUCCCCUGCUCUGUGUCCCCAGCUCUGUCCCCUGCUCUGUCCCCAGGGCAGUGUCCCCACCCUCCCCCUGUGGAGUUCGCCGACCCCCAGCCCCGUCGCGAGUUCCUGGUCGGGACCACCCUGAGCUACUCCUGCAGACCCGGCUUCUCCUCCAUCCCCGGCGUGUCCCCAACAAUCACCUGCCUGCAGAACUUCUCCUGGUCCUCGGCGCCCAGGCUGUGCCAGAGUGAGUUCAUCCCUUCUUUUGCUGCGCCGUCCCCUGGACGUCGCCGCUCCCAGCCGGGCCAGCAGCGCUCUCUGCAGCAGCUCUGCCUCCCCCUGGCAAUAAUUCCGCUGCUCGAAGGGUGGCGUGGCUGCAGAGCAAAAGCUGCAGCUCCCCCUGGUUACUGAGCGGCUCCAGCGAGGAUUCAGGGGUGCGGGCAGGCGUGUGCCGUCCCCCCAGCACGCUUUCCAGCUGAUCGCAGGGCUCUCGCC